Melitaea cinxia (Glanville fritillary) is the source of this 425-nucleotide long non-coding RNA. RefSeq lists it as uncharacterized. Lineage: Eukaryota; Metazoa; Arthropoda; Insecta; Lepidoptera; Nymphalidae. The record is from RefSeq and is a predicted model, not a curated record. The transcript has 3 exons.
AUAAUAGCGUUAUGUGUUAUUCAGGUUUCCCUCCAAGGCCAAGAAGGACAGGUCUGCGGUCCACGCGCACGUCCCCGUAGUCUCAACAGCCACCAAGGUUGAGACUUUCUGCAGGGAUGUGUGCAUGCAGCUGCAGGCCUGUCCAUGUUUUUGGACCCACACAAUAUGUAGACCAGUGUCCGCAUAACUGUCGGACAAUUAAAAAGUCAACCUUCCGUUUCAUUCCAAGGAAAAGAAAGAUAGGUUUGUGGUCGACGCGUACGUCCCCGUAGUCUCAACAGCAGACCAAGUUGAGACUUUCCGUAGGGAUGUGUGCAUGCAGCUGCGGGCCUGUUCAUAUGUGUUUGGGCUCCAUCAAUAUGGAGACCAGUGUCCGCACAAAUGUCGGACAGUUAAAAAGUCCACCUUCCAUUAUGGUGCGAAAA